RNAcentral lists this ribosomal RNA (629 nucleotides) under Scytonema sp. HS006. RNAcentral's name for it is "bacterial SSU rRNA". It matches the Rfam family "Bacterial small subunit ribosomal RNA", at positions 117 to 780 of the family's 1533-position model. The record is from RNAcentral. Lineage: Bacteria; Bacillati; Cyanobacteriota; Cyanophyceae; Nostocales; Scytonemataceae.
GCGUAGAAUCUGGCUUCAGGUUCGGGACAACAGUUGGAAACGGCUGCUAAUACCGGAUGUGCCCUUGGGUGAAAGAUUUAUCACCUGAAGAUGAGCUCGCGUCUGAUUAGCUAGUAGGUGUGGUAAGAGCGCACCUAGGCGACGAUCAGUAGCUGGUCUGAGAGGAUGAUCAGCCACACUGGGACUGAGACACGGCCCAGACUCCUACGGGAGGCAGCAGUGGGGAAUUUUCCGCAAUGGGCGAAAGCCUGACGGAGCAAUACCGCGUGAGGGAGGAAGGCUCUUGGGUUGUAAACCUCUUUUCUCAGGGAAGAAUGAUGACGGUACCUGAGGAAUAAGCAUCGGCUAACUCCGUGCCAGCAGCCGCGGUAAUACGGAGGAUGCAAGCGUUAUCCGGAAUGAUUGGGCGUAAAGCGUCCGCAGGUGGCAAUGUAAGUCUGCUGUCAAAGCGUCUGGCUCAACCAGAUAAAGGCAGUGGAAACUACAUAGCUAGAGUAAGGUAGGGGUAGAGGGAAUUCCUGGUGUAGCGGUGAAAUGCGUAGAGAUCAGGAAGAACACCGGUGGCGAAAGCGCUCUGCUGGACCUUAACUGACACUGAGGGACGAAAGCUAGGGGAGCGAAAGGGAUUA